RNAcentral lists this microRNA precursor (59 nucleotides) under Tribolium castaneum (red flour beetle). Its description in RNAcentral is "Tca-Mir-11621-P2b_pre stem-loop". Lineage: Eukaryota; Metazoa; Arthropoda; Insecta; Coleoptera; Tenebrionidae. The record is from RNAcentral.
AUAAAGCGCAUUUGUCGUUGCAUCCUUAACAUAAAGGCAACGAUUCAGGUGCUUUUCUU